RNAcentral lists this transfer RNA (71 nucleotides) under Camelus bactrianus (Bactrian camel). It matches the Rfam family "tRNA". From Rfam's summary of the family: Transfer RNA (tRNA) molecules are approximately 80 nucleotides in length. Their secondary structure includes four short double-helical elements and three loops (D, anti-codon, and T loops). The record is from Rfam by way of RNAcentral. Lineage: Eukaryota; Metazoa; Chordata; Mammalia; Artiodactyla; Camelidae. RNAcentral also lists the same sequence under 1 other name.
GGAGCAGAGCUCUGUGGUAGAGUGUGUGCUUAGUGUGCGUAAGGUCCUGGGUUCAAUCCCCAGUUGCUCCA